CCUUAUCACUCAUUCGUCACAGU
RNAcentral lists this microRNA (23 nucleotides) under Magallana gigas (Pacific oyster). Its description in RNAcentral is "Mgi-Mir-184-P15l2_5p* (star (passenger))". The record is from RNAcentral. Lineage: Eukaryota; Metazoa; Mollusca; Bivalvia; Ostreida; Ostreidae.